GAGAUAUAUACUGUCUCAUAUAUAUUUGAUGAAUUUAAAUUUUUAGUAAAAAUGCUUAAAUAAUUUUAUGGGACGAUAAGACCCUAUAGAAUUUUAUAUUAAUAUUUUAUUAAUUAUUUAAUUAAAAUAUUAAUAUUUAAUUGGGAGGAUUAAUAAAUUUAAAAAACUUUAUUUUAAAAAUAAACUUUGAUUUUAGAAUUAAUUUUUGAUCUUUUAUUAUAAAUCAAAAGAAUAAAUUACCUUAGGGAUAACAGCGUAAUAUCUUUUUAAAGAUCAUAUUUAAAAAGAUGUUUGCGACCUCGAUGUUGAAUUAAGAUAAAUUUUAAACGGAGAAGUUUAAUAAUUAAGUCUGUUCGACUUUUAAAAUCUUACAUGA
RNAcentral lists this ribosomal RNA (376 nucleotides) under Bombus morio. RNAcentral's name for it is "partial 16S ribosomal RNA". The stretch from base 247 to 376 matches the Rfam family "Archaeal large subunit ribosomal RNA", at positions 2544 to 2674 of the family's 2987-position model. RNAcentral also lists the same sequence under 1 other name. Lineage: Eukaryota; Metazoa; Arthropoda; Insecta; Hymenoptera; Apidae. The record is from RNAcentral.